GACGUAGGGUGCGAGCGUUGUCCGGAUUUAUUGGGCGUAAAGAGCUCGUAGGCGGCUCGUCGCGUCGACCGUGAAAACCCGCGGCUUAACUGCGGGCUUGCGGUUGAUACGGGCGGGCUAGAGUUCGGUAGGGGAGACUGGAAUUCCUGGUGUAGCGGUGAAAUGCGCAGAUAUCUGGAGGAAUACCGGUGGCGAAGGCGG
RNAcentral lists this ribosomal RNA (201 nucleotides) under uncultured bacterium. Its description in RNAcentral is "partial 16S ribosomal RNA". It matches the Rfam family "Bacterial small subunit ribosomal RNA", at positions 524 to 724 of the family's 1533-position model. The record is from RNAcentral.